Molecule: non-coding RNA, 19 nt
Filed under: Arabidopsis thaliana (thale cress)
Lineage: Eukaryota; Viridiplantae; Streptophyta; Magnoliopsida; Brassicales; Brassicaceae
Source: RNAcentral
ACCGCUCGAAAUCGCCAGU